This 254-nucleotide ribosomal RNA is filed under the name uncultured bacterium. RNAcentral's name for it is "partial 16S ribosomal RNA". It matches the Rfam family "Bacterial small subunit ribosomal RNA", at positions 524 to 776 of the family's 1533-position model. The record is from RNAcentral.
UACGGGGGGAGCAAGCGUUGUUCGGAUUUACUGGGCGUAAAGGGCGCGUAGGCGGCCACCGCAAGUCGACUGUGAAAUCUCCGGGCUUAACUCGGAAAGGUCAGCCGAUACUGCGGGGCUAGAGUGCAGAAGGGGCAACUGGAAUUCCUGGUGUAGCGGUGAAAUGCGCAGAUAUCAGGAGGAACACCGGUGGCGAAGGCGGGUCUCUGGGCCGACACUGACGCUGAGGAGCGAAAGCGUGGGGAGCGAACAGG